Molecule: long non-coding RNA, 286 nt
Organism: Perognathus longimembris pacificus (Pacific pocket mouse)
Lineage: Eukaryota; Metazoa; Chordata; Mammalia; Rodentia; Heteromyidae
Exons: 3
Source: RefSeq, a predicted model, not a curated record
AAGUGGGGCAGGUUGGGUGAAGAUAGUGACUUUAGUUUAGGACUCAUUGGGUUGGAGGUUCUGCUGACAGUGGAUUAAAGAUACUGUAUGUGUGGGUCAGAAAACAGUUUCCUGUUGCGGACUGAGUCAUCUACAUAAAGGCUAGGAAGAGGGCUGGAGGUAAUUAGUGUUGAAUAUUUAUUUCUCUCCUAGGAUUCUCCAGUAUUAAAAGCUGCUUAGACCCAGCACUGAGUCUCCUCUUUGUAGACCUCUGUUCCCUAGAGGAGCAGAGAGAGAUGAGAGAGGG